UGGGUAAUCUUGCGCAAUGGGCGAAAGCCUGACGCAGCGACGCCGCGUGGGGGAUGAAGGCCUUUCACGUUGUAAACCCCUUUCGUCAGGCACGACGCGAUCUCGUGACGGUACCUGCAGAAGAAUCCUCGGCUAACUACGUGCCAGCAGCCGCGGUAACACGUAGGAGGCGAUCGUUGUCCGGAAUCAUUGGGCGUAAAGAGCGCGCUGGCGGCCUGGCAAUUCGGGUGUGAAAUCCCGGGGCUCAACCCCGGGACUGCAGUAGAUCCUGUAAGGCUAGAGGUCGGUCGGGAAGAUAGGAAUGCCUGGUGUAGCGGUGAAAUGCGCAGAUGUCAGGAGGAACACCGGUGGCGAAGGAGGAGCUCUGGGCCUUACCUGACGCUCAGGCGCGAAAGCUAGGGGGGCGAACAGG
Molecule: ribosomal RNA, 412 nt
Filed under: bacterium
Lineage: Bacteria
Description: partial 16S ribosomal RNA
Rfam family: Bacterial small subunit ribosomal RNA
Source: RNAcentral